Molecule: transfer RNA, 42 nt
Filed under: Crypthecodinium cohnii
Lineage: Eukaryota; Dinophyceae; Gonyaulacales; Crypthecodiniaceae
Description: partial Selenocysteine transfer RNA
Source: RNAcentral
GGAACUGGCCUGGUCUGGCCUCUGGACUUCAAGCCCAGAGGC